RNAcentral lists this ribosomal RNA (333 nucleotides) under Babesia odocoilei. RNAcentral's name for it is "SSU rRNA". It matches the Rfam family "Eukaryotic small subunit ribosomal RNA", at positions 558 to 942 of the family's 1831-position model. The record is from RNAcentral. Lineage: Eukaryota; Apicomplexa; Aconoidasida; Piroplasmida; Babesiidae.
AGUCUGGUGCCAGCAGCCGCGGUAAUUCCAGCUCCAAUAGCGUAUAUUAAACUUGUUGCAGUUAAAAAGCUCGUAGUUGAAUUUCUGCGUCACCGUAUUUUGACUUUUGUCGACUGUCGGUUUCGCUUUUGGGAUUUAUCCCUUUUUACUUUGAGAAAAUUAGAGUGUUUCAAGCAGACUUUUGUCUUGAAUACUUCAGCAUGGAAUAAUAGAGUAGGACUUUGGUUCUAUUUUGUUGGUUUGUGAACCUUAGUAAUGGUUAAUAGGAACGGUUGGGGGCAUUCGUAUUUAACUGUCAGAGGUGAAAUUCUUAGAUUUGUUAAAGACGAACUA